GAGUGUUGUCACCUAUCGACCAUUUUCCACAGAAUUGAAUGGAGAUGAAUCGAGCGCUUUCAUUUGUCAAGUUGUGGAUGAUACAAGUGAAACGUUCUUCGAUGUGAAAUCUUUCGAGCUCAAGCGCAUAGACCAAGAGUUUAUCCUGUGUGAUGGCCAUAUGAAGUACAGACAUUUUGCUGAAUUCGUGGGCACUUCCAAUCGCAAGCCCUAUGGUGCUGUUAUUUUAACUCGUGGCGAGAAUCCUAAGGCCGUUGGGAUCUUGAACUUCUCAGACGAUGAAAAUAAAGAGAUUUUACCCAUCUUGUUGCCUGACAGUCAAAUACGAUAUUUAGUAAGUGACUGGAAUUUGAUGUGACAGUUUUGUCUAGAGGAACUGAAAUAUGCUGUGUGUGUGAGAAAAUGCAUGGAAAAAUUAGAUACCCUCAAUUACCAGUGGUGGUAAUUUGCCCAAGUUCAUAAGUGAGAGGAUAUUCUGCCAUUCUUUGUUUCAUUAUUAUAACAAAUGUGUGGCCCAGUUAUUGCUGCCCUUGGUGACAAUUGGCAAACUCAGUAGAAUUGGAUGGGGGUCA
Long non-coding RNA from Stylophora pistillata, 572 nucleotides. Lineage: Eukaryota; Metazoa; Cnidaria; Anthozoa; Scleractinia; Pocilloporidae. The record is from RefSeq and is a predicted model, not a curated record.